This 253-nucleotide ribosomal RNA is filed under the name uncultured bacterium. RNAcentral's name for it is "partial 16S ribosomal RNA". It matches the Rfam family "Bacterial small subunit ribosomal RNA", at positions 524 to 776 of the family's 1533-position model. The record is from RNAcentral.
UACGUAGGUGGCAAGCGUUGUCCGGAUUUACUGGGCGUAAAGAGCGCGCAGGCGGUCGGGUAAGUCGAAUGUGAAAGCCCCCGGCUCAACUGGGGAGGGUCAUUCGAUACUGUUCGACUCGAAGGCAGGAGAGGGAAGUGGAAUUCCCGGUGUAGUGGUGAAAUGCGUAGAUAUCGGGAGGAACACCAGUGGCGAAGGCGACUUCCUGGCCUGUUCUUGACGCUGAGGCGCGAAAGCUAGGGGAGCAAACGGG